This 181-nucleotide ribosomal RNA is filed under the name uncultured Actinomycetales bacterium. RNAcentral describes it as "partial 16S ribosomal RNA". It matches the Rfam family "Bacterial small subunit ribosomal RNA", at positions 153 to 334 of the family's 1533-position model. Lineage: Bacteria; Bacillati; Actinomycetota; Actinomycetes; Actinomycetales. The record is from RNAcentral.
AAAGUCGGGGCUAAUACUGGAUAUGACCUUCGGCCCGCAGUGGGUUGUGGUGGAAAGUUUUUCGGUGGGGGAUGGGCUCGCGGCCUAUCAGUUUGUUGGUGAGGUAGUGGCUCACCAAGGCGAUGACGGGUAGCCGGCCUGAGAGGGCGACCGGCCACACUGGGACUGAGACACGGCCCAG